CGAGGUGAUUGGAUAGCUGCCCUACGGGGAGGAAAGUCCGAGCUUCAAGGGAACAAGGUACCAGAUAACGUCUGGCUGGAGCAAUCCAAGGGAAAGUGUCACAGAAAAUUACCGCCAUGUUUUUUCAUGGUAAGGUUGAAAAGGUGAGGUAAGAGCUUACCGCGAAGGUGGCAACAUCUUCGGUCAAGAUAAACCCUACCUGAAGCAAGACCAAGUUAGGACACUAAAAGGACGGUUCCCAGUCCUGUCCAGAGGUAGGUCGCGUUGAGCCUGACAGUGAUGUCUGGCCCAGAUGAAUAGCUAUCGUCUCGCAAGAGAUACAGAACUCGGCUUAUAAAUCACCUCAUUAA
This 350-nucleotide RNase P RNA is filed under the name Lactobacillus sp. Its description in RNAcentral is "RNase P RNA component class A". It matches the Rfam family "Bacterial RNase P class A". Rfam says of the family: Ribonuclease P (RNase P) is a ubiquitous endoribonuclease, found in archaea, bacteria and eukarya as well as chloroplasts and mitochondria. The record is from RNAcentral. Lineage: Bacteria; Bacillati; Bacillota; Bacilli; Lactobacillales; Lactobacillaceae.